UAUCAACGCAAAGUACAUGGGGUGACAAAGAAGGAACGCUAUGUACAUUGAAUGACAAAGAAGGAGCGCUAUGUACAUCGAAUGACAAAGAAG
Long non-coding RNA from Xenia sp. Carnegie-2017, 93 nucleotides. RefSeq lists it as uncharacterized. The record is from RefSeq and is a predicted model, not a curated record. Lineage: Eukaryota; Metazoa; Cnidaria; Anthozoa; Malacalcyonacea; Xeniidae. The transcript has 3 exons.